UCCCCUGGUGGUCUAGUGGUCUAAGAUGCAGCGCUCUUACCGCUGCGACCCGGGUUCGAUUCCCGGUCAGGGAA
Non-coding RNA from Silurus meridionalis, 74 nucleotides. Lineage: Eukaryota; Metazoa; Chordata; Actinopteri; Siluriformes; Siluridae. The record is from the annotation of a RefSeq genome assembly.